This is a non-coding RNA of Xyrichtys novacula (pearly razorfish), 9535 nucleotides long. The record is from the annotation of a GenBank genome assembly. NCBI's taxonomy places the organism in Eukaryota, Metazoa, Chordata, Actinopteri, Labriformes, Labridae.
CUGGCCUCCAAGUUUUCUAGGAUGAUGCAAUGUCCAGCCAUCAACACAUUUGUGAAGGAAUUUUUACUCCCUAAAAGAGCGCCCCCCCAUGGCAGGAGAAAAAAGUCCAUUUUUUCUUGUCCCCUAAGGUGAAAAUACACAUUGUUGACUGUCACGCCUGUACGCUUUGGCAAAAUGACACAAAAAUUGACAAUCAUGUGUAUCUCAAUUAGAUCUACGAAAAAGUCAUAGAGCGCGUAUCUGUAUAAUGUACGGUAAAAGGGCUAUUUUGCAUUUUUUGCCGAUUCGCACACAUUGGAAUUUCGCUAACUCCUCCUAAGGCUUUCGUCCCACUGACACCAAAUUUGCUCAGGCCAAUCUACACUCCAUGGCCAUUCAAAGUUGUAAAAAUCAUGACGCUGCACCCCACGGUUUACGUUUUAGGGGGCGCCAAAGAUGACCCAAAUAUACAUUACAGUAGACAAAGUAGUUUUGCCCACUGAGUGGCGCCAAAGGGACUUGUCUGUGGAGUCUGUGAGUCACUAUUGGCCGUUUUUGACUACUUUAGAUUUUACCUUUAUAUUUCCUCUUACAAAAGUUUUACCUUGCCUUGCCUGGUAUCAUUUUUUUCAGUACAACCUCACCUGUGUCAAUGUACAGUUAUUUUAUCAUUUUGACAUACUAUAUUUACACAUUGGACCCAAAUUCACACACAAAACAUAAAAUCCGAGUGGAAAAAAGUAACGUUUUUACUGUGAAAACCACAAAUAUGUGUGAUGAACUGUUUUUAAAACUUAAACUUCAAAUAAAAAUUGUAAACUUCAAAACAUAUGCAAAUUUUUAACAAAGAACAUAGUAAUUUACCUCUAUUUACAUCAAAAUGCAGGCAAUGGCCCAGGUGUUCUUUGUAAAAUUAUUUACAAAACACUGUAUAGUCUCACAAAUGUCACUUUUUAUUUAUGCCAGUACAAAAAAACAUGAUGUAAAUGAUGCAUGAUGUAAAACAUGAUGUAAAAAACUUGUGUAGAUCCUCCUCUAUGUUAGUCCAUGUGUAAUUUUUCCAUAAUUCUUUGUUUUUUGCAGCAUUUUUGUUAGUGUAACUGCAGAUUGUGCUGACAGUGUCUAUGGCAAAAAAAAAAAAAAAAAACUGAAAAUGCCUCAACAUGAACCCCUGGUGGUCUCUGAGGGUGAAACCUGCUAACUGCUGCAGCUCUGUCAGCUUCAGUCUCCCAUGCAGAGCUCGGAGCGCAUGUGUGGCUCUGCACCCUUAGCAGCGUUGCUAACUCCUCAGUAAGGAAAGCCUGCUUCAUGUCAGAGUCUCUAAACUCCAGAAGAAGUCGAUAAAAGUCACUUUCUUUCUAAAAAAGUCGUUAGGGGGUCUGAAAAGUCAUUGAAUCUAACAACAAAGUCGCUAGGUUUGCAACUACGUGUCCCAGACUGCAUCCCUGCUGAGAGUCCCUCCCUCCCUUCUCAUAUUGCAGGAAGAACGUAAGCGCCCGCCCCUUGUCAAUCAGUCACCAUAUAAUUUUGGAUUGGUUGUUGUGGUGAAGUUUUCCACCAGUAGGAGAGAUGUUGUGGUGUGUUUUUUUUUUUCCUUUGGCAAGCCUUUUACGCCUGUAAGACCUGUCGCUAAUGUCUGCAUGCUAUGUUUUCCUGUCUCAUACAGCGCGAUCGAGCGCCGAACGUGAUCAAAAUAAGCAGAAAACAAGUAUCGCGGACAUAAUUUAUCAUAACUCUGGUUUUAUUUGGCCUAUCAACACAAUUUAAAAACUGGUAUAUAGGUUGAGGUCCUCACUUUUGAGAUAAGUUGAAACGGAGUCAACGAGGCUCCGUCUUGCAGCUACAUCCGGUUAAAUAUGUCAUGUGACUUGAACGCACACACACACACAGACACACACACACACACACACACACACACACACACAGACACACACACACACGCACACACACACACUCAGAGUCUGGUUUUUAGCACCUGCAAAAACAUGCUAUUUACAUAUUUGACAAGAAUGCAGAGGCUCCUUUUGCCCCUGAAAAAAAUCAAAUUUCAAACACAACUUGACUGGUCAUUUCUCCAAAAGACAACCAUGAAGCUCCAUCCAAACCUGAAGCAGGCAGUUGGUGCAUGUGUACAGUAACCUGAGGGGAGUGAGGUGACUGCUUCUGAGGAGAACAUGAGCAGUGAAGAUUCACCUUAGAGCUAGAACAGAGACGUGCACAUGAUUAUACAGGGGCAGGGGCUCAAGUUUUUUCCAGUUGUUUAUACAAUAUGGAAAUUAAUGUGAAAUUAAAAAACAAAGUAUUAAUAGAAAGGUAAUGACUGUCCUGAGUAGGUGACAGUGAUAUCCAAUAGGCUAGGCACUCAAGAGGCUGGCUGUGGCAAGUGUAAGUGAAAGCAACACGCACUGGCAGGAAGAACAGCAAACGCCGAUGAAGGAAAAGGGUCUUUGCAGUGAUGGGCGUUACCAGAGAGGGCGAUGGCCAGAGGACACAAAUGGGACGGGGAGGCAGCGCGUUGGGGGGGACGCGACACAGCUCGGGCCCGCCAGUGCCCCAACGGGGUCCUAGUUAUUUUUCCUCCCCUUUGAACUGGAAAAUGGCCCACUUCCCACUGGCGAAAACUCAUGAAAUUUGGCAGGACGACCGGGCCUGGUGAAAAAUUUGAUAUUCCGAAGUCGCCCAAACAAGAAAAUGCAAAAUGGCUCCAUAGCGCCCCCUAAGGUGAAAAUUCACACUAUUGACUGUCACGCCUGUACGCUUUGUCAAAAUGACACAAAAAUUGACACACACAUGUAUCUCAAUAAGAUCUACAAAAAAGUCAGUGCGGGCGUAUCUGUCAAAUGUACGGUUAAAGGGUUAUUUCGCAUUUUUUGCCGAUCCGCACACAUUGGAAUUUCGCUAACUCCUCCGAAGGCUUUCGUUCCACCGGCACCACAUUUGCUCAGGCCAAUCUACACCCCAUGGCCAUUAAAAGUUAUUCAAAUCAUGACGCUGCACCCCACGGUUUAGGUUCUAGGGGGCGCCAAAGAUAACCCUAAGAUCCACAUAUUUAAAAGUCUUAUAACUUUUUAUUUUUGCCCUCACUGGCCUCCAAGUUUUCUAGGAUGAUGCAAUGUCCAGCCAUCAACACAUUUGUGAAGGAAUUUUUACUCCCCAAAAGAGCGCCCCCCCAUGGCAGGAGAAAAAAGUCCAUUUUUUCUUGUCCCCUAAGGUGAAAAUACACAUUGUUGAGUUUAACACCUGUACGCUUUGGCAAAAUGACACCAAAAAUGACACACACAUGUAUCUCAAUAAGAUCUACGAAAAAGUCAAUGCGCGCGUAUCUGUCAAAUGUACGGUUAAUGGGUUAUUUCGCAUUUUUUGCCGAUCCGCACACAUUGGAAUUUCGCUAACUCCUCCGAAGGCUUUCAUUCCACCGGUACCACAUUUGCUCAGGCCAAUCUACACCCCAUGGCCAUUAAAAGUUAUUCAAAUCAUGACGCUGCAUCCCACGGUUUAGGUUCUAGGGGGCGCCAAAGAUAACCCUAAAAUCCACAUAUUUAAAAGUCUUAUAACUUUUUAUUUUUGUCCUCACUGGCCUCCAAGUUUUCUAGGAUGAUGCAAUGUCCAGCCAUCAACACAUUUGUGAAGGAAUUUUUACUCCCCAAAAGAGCGCCCCCCCAUGGCAGGAAAAAAAAGCCAAUUUUUUCUUGUCCCCUAAGGUGGAAAUUCACACUAUUGACUGUCACGCCUGUACGCUUUAUCAUAUUGACACAAAAAUUGACACACAUAUGUAUCUCAAUAAGAUCUACAAAAGAGUCGAUUCGCGCGUAUCUGUCAAAUGUACGGUUAAAGGGCUAUUUUGCAUUUUUUGCCGAUUCGCACACAUUGGAAUGUGGCUAACUCCUCCUAAGGCUUUCGUCCCACUGACACCAAAUUUGCUCAGGCCAAUCUACACCCCAUGGCCAUUCAAAGUUGUAAAAAUCAUGACGCUGCACCCCACGGUUUACGUUCUAGGGGGCGCCAAAGAUGACCCAAAAAUCCACAUUCUUCAAAGAAUCCACAUCCCCCCCCCCCCCCCAUAUGGCAGGAGAAAAAGUUAAGUUUUUCCUGCCCAUCGCUCAAUGGCUCAAUCGCAUCGCUCUCCAGGCAACACCGUAAGGAGGAGCAACCUGCCAUUUCGAUAUAUCAUAGCUGUGUUUGUGCCCUCACUCAUGGUCCAGACUUUUUUCAAAUAGGACAUGAAGUUUGUCUGCAGCGAGUGUUUUGGUAGAAACUGCGCCUCCCAUUCAUUAUAAUAGGAAAUGACCGCAGACAAGUGCGCACACCAUCUUUGGAUCUUGAGUGUGACGCGAUCGGGAGGGGGAGGCGGUCGCACUGGGGGCGGCGCGACACGGCUCGGGCCCGACAGUGCCCCAACGGGGUCCUAGUUAUUAGGGCCCGAGCGUAGCUGCUAAGCAGCUGCGAGAGCCCUAUUAUUCCCCAAGUGGUUUUUUAGGGCCCGAGCGUAGCUGCUAAGCAGCUGCGAGAGCCCUCUUGUUCCUGCAUGUUUCCUUCUUUUGUUAUUAUUAUUAUUUUUCCUCCCCUUUGAACUGGAAAAUGGCCCACUUCCCACUGGCGAAAACUCAUGAAAUUUGGCAGGACGACCGGGCCUGGUGAAAAAUUUGAUAUUCUGAAGUCGCCCAAACAAUAAAAUGCAAAAUGGCUCCAUAGCGCCCCCUAAGGUGGAAAUUCACACUAUUGACUGUCACGCCUGUACGCUUUGUCAAAAUGACACAAAAUUUGACACACAUAUGUAUCUCAAUAAGAUCUACAAAAAAGUCAGUGCGGGCGUAUCUGUCAAAUGUACGGUUAAAGGGCUAUUUCGCAUUUUUUGGCGAUCCGUACACAUUGGAAUUUCGCUAACUCCUCCGAAGGCUUUUGUUCCACCGGCACCACAUUUGCUCAGGCCAAUCUACACCCCAUGGCCAUUAAAAGUUAUUCAAAUCAUGACGCUGCACCCCACGGUUUAGGUUCUAGGGGGCGCCAAAGAUAACCCGAAAAUCCACAUAUUUAAAAGUCUUAUAACUUUUUAUUUUUGUCCUCACUGGCCUCCAAGUUUUCUAGGAUGAUGCAAUGUCCAGCCAUCAACACAUUUGUGAAGGAAUUUUUACUCCCCAAAAGAGCGCCCCCCCAUGGCAGGAGAAAAAAGUCCAUUUUUUCUUGUCCCCUAAGGUGAAAAUACACAUUGUUGAGUGUCACGCCUCUACACUUUGUCAAAAUGACACAAAAUUUGGCACACAGGUGUGUCAAUAAGAUCUACGAAAAAGUCAAUGCGGGCGUAUCUGUCAAAUGUACGGUUAAAGGGCUAUUUCGCAUUUUUUGGCGAUCCGUACACAUUGGAAUUUCGCUAACUCCUCCGAAGGCUUUUGUUCCACCGGCACCACAUUUGCUCAGGCCAAUCUACACCCCAUGGCCAUUAAAAGUUAUUCAAAUCAUGACGCUGCACCCCACGGUUUAGGUUCUAGGGGGCGCCAAAGAUAACCCGAAAAUCCACAUAUUUAAAAGUCUUAUAACUUUUUAUUUUUGUCCUCACUGGCCUCCAAGUUUUCUAGGAUGAUGCAAUGUCCAGCCAUCAACACAUUUGUGAAGGAAUUUUUACUCCCCAAAAGAGCGCCCCCCCAUGGCAGGAGAAAAAAGUCCAUUUUUUCUUGUCCCCUAAGGUGAAAAUACACAUUGUUCAGUGUCACGCCUCUACACUUUGUCAAAAUGACACAAAAUUUGGCACACAGGUGUAUCUCAAUAAUAUCUACGAAAAAGUCAAUGCGGGCGUAUCUGUCAAAUGUACGGUUAAAGGGCUAUUUCGCAUUUUUUGGCGAUCCAUACACAUUGGAAUUUCGCUAACUCCUCCGAAGGCUUUUGUUCCACCGGCACCACAUUUGCUCAGGCCAAUCUACACCCCAUGGCCAUUAAAAGUUAUUCAAAUCAUGACGCUGCACCCCACGGUUUAGGUUCUAGGGGGCGCCAAAGAUAACCCUAAAAUCCACAUAUUUAAAAGUCUUAUAACUUUUUAUUUUUGUCCUCACUGGCCUCCAAGUUUUCUAGGAUGAUGCAAUGUCCAGCCAUCAACACAUUUGUGAAGGAAUUUUUACUCCCUAAAAGAGUGCCCCCCCAUGGCAGGAGAAAAAGUCAAGUUUUUCCGGCCCAUCGCUCAACGGCUCAAACACAUCGCUCUCUCGGCAAAACCGAAAGGAGGAGAAACUUGCCAUUUGGAUAUAUCCUAGCUGUGUUGGUGCCCUCACUCAUGGUCCAGACUUUUUUCAAAUAGGACAUGUAGUUUGUCUGCAGCGAGCGUUUUGGUAGAAACUGCGCCUCCCAUUCAUUAUAAUGGUAAAUGACCACAGACAAGUGUGCACACCAUCUUUGGACCUUGAGUGUCACGCGAUCGGGAGGGAGAGGCGGUCGUGUUGGGGGCGGCGCGACACAGCUCGGGCCCGCCAGUGCCCCAACGGGGUCCUAGUCUUUGUUUCUUUCUUUCUUUUUUCUUUUUCCUCCCCUUUGAACUGGAAAAUGGCCCACUUCCCACUGGCGAAAACUCAUGAAAUUUGGCAGGACGACCGGGCCUGGUGAAAAAUUCGAUAUUCUGAAGUCGCCCAAACAAUAAAAUGCAAAAUGGCUCCAUAGCGCCCCCUAAGGUGGAAAUUCACACUAUUGACUGUCACGCCUGUACGCUUUGUCAUAUUGACACAAAAAUUGACACACACAUGUAUCUCAAUAAGAUCUACAAAAAAGUCAGUGCGGCCGUAUCUGUCAAAAUUACGGUUAAAGGGUUAUUUCGCAUUUUUUGCCGAUCCGCACACAUUGGAAUUUCGCUAACUCCUCCGAAGGCUUUCGUUCCACCGGCACCACAUUUGCUCAGGCCAAUCUACACCCCGUGGCCAUUAAAAGUUAUCAAAAUCAUGACGCUGCACCCCAAGGUUUAGGUUCUAGGGGGCGCCAAAGAUAACACUAAAAUCCACAUAUUUAAAGUCUUAUAACUUUUUAUUUUUGUCCUCACUGGCCUCCAAGUUUUCUAGGAUGAUGCAAUGUCCAGCCAUCAACACAUUUGUGAAGGAAUUUUUACUCCCCAAAAGAGCGCCCCCCAUGGCAGGAGAAAAAAGUCCAUUUUUUCUUGUCCCCUAAGGUGAAAAUACACAUUGUUGAGUGUCACGCCUAUACGCUUUGUCAAAAUGACACAAAAAUUGACACACACAUGUAACUCAAUAAGAUCUACAAAAAAGUCAAUGCGCGCGUAUCUGUCAAAUGUACGGUUAAAGGGUUAUUCCGCAUUUUUUGCCGAUACGCACACAUUGGAAUUUCGCCAACUCCUCCGAAGGCUUUCGUUCCACCGGCACCACAUUUGCUCAGGCCAAUCUACACCCCAUGGCCAUUAAAAGUUAUUCAAAUCAUGAUGCUGCACCCCAUGGUUUAGGUUCUAGGGGGCGCCAAAAAUAACCCUAAAAUCCACAUUCUUAAAUGUUUUAUAACUUUUUAUUUUUGUCCUCACUGGCCUCCAAGUUUUCUAGGAUGAUGCAAUGUCCAGCCAUCAACACAUUUGUGAAGGAAUUUUUACUCCCCAAAAGAGCGCCCCCCCAUGGCAGGAGAAAAAAGUCCAUUUUUUCUUGUCCCAUAAGGUGAAAAAACACAUUGUUGACUGUCAUACCUGUACGCUUUGUCAUAUUGACACAAAAUUUGACAAUCACAUGUAUCUCAAUAAGAUCUACGAAAAAGUCAAUGCGCGCGUAUCUGUAAAAUGUACGGUUAAAGGGCUAUUUUGCAUUUUUUGCCGAUUCGCACACAUUGGAAUGUGGCUAACUCCUCCUAAGGCUUUCGUCCCACUGACACCAAAUUUGCUCAGGCCAAUCUACACCCCAUGGCCAUUCAAAGUUGUAAAAAUCAUGACGCUGCACCCCACGGUUUACGUUCUAGGGGGCGCCAAAGAUGACCCAAAUAUCCACAUUCUUAAAAGAAUCCACAUCCCCCCCCCCAUCCCCCAUCCCCCAUGGCAGGAGAAACAGUCAAGUUUUUCCUGCCCAUCACUCAAUGGCUCAAUCGCAUCACUCUCCCGGCAACACCGUAACGAGGAGCAACUUGCCGUUUGGAUAUAUCCUAGCUGUGUUUGUGCCCUCACUCAUGGUCCAGACUUUUUUCAAAUAGGACAUGUAGUUUGUCUGCAGCGAGUGUUUUGGUAGAAACUGCGCCUCCCAUUCAUUAUAAUGGGAAAUGACCACAGACAAGUGCGCACACCAUCUUUGGACCUUGAGUGUGACGCGAUCGGGAGGGGGAGGCGGUCGCGCUGGGGGCGGCGCAACGCGGCUCGGGCCCGACAGUGCCCCACCGGGGUCCUAGUUAUUUUUCCUCCCCUUUGAACUGGAAAAUGGCCCACUUCCCACUGGCGAAAACUCAUGAAAUUUGGCAGGACGACCGGGCCUGGUGAAAAAUUUGAUAUUCUGAAGUCGCCCAAACAAUACAAUGCAAAAUGGCUCCAUAGCGCCCCCUAAGGUGAAAAAUUCACCUGACGCCUGUACGCUUUGUCAAAAUUACACAAAAAUUGACACACACAUGUAUCUCAAUAAGAUCUACAAAAAAGUCAGUGCGGGCGUAUCUGUCAAAUGUACGGUUAAAGGGUUAUUGUGCAUUUUUUGCCGAUCCGCACACAUUGGAAUUUCGCUAACUCCUCCGAAGGCUUUCGUUCCACCGGCACCACAUUUGCUCAGGCCAAUCUACACCCCAUGGCCAUUAAAAGUUAUUCAAAUCAUGACGCUGCACCCCACGGUUUAUGUUCUAGGGGGCGCCAAAGAUAACCCUAAAAUCCACAUAUUUCAAAGUCUUAUAACUUUUUAUUUUUGCCCUCACUGGCCUCCAAGUUUUCUAGGAUGAUGCAAUGUCCAGCCAUCAACACAUUUGUGAAGGAAUUUUUACUCCCCAAAAGAGCGCCCCCCCAUGGCAGGAGAAAAAAGUCCAUUUUUUCUUGUUCCAUAAGGUGAAAAUUCACACUAUUGACUGUCACGCCUGUACGCUUUGUCAAAAUUACACAAAAAUUGACACACACAUGUAUCUCAAUAAGAUCUACAAAAAAGUCAGUGCGGGCGUAUCUGUCAAAUGUACGGUUAAAGGGUUAUUGUGCAUUUUUUGCCGAUCCGCACACAUUGGAAUUUCGCUAACUCCUCCGAAGGCUUUCGUUCCACCGGCACCACAUUUGCUCAGGCCAAUCUACACCCCAUGGCCAUUAAAAGUUAUUCAAAUCAUGACGCUGCACCCCACGGUUUAGGUUCUAGGGGGCGCCAAAGAUAACCCUAAAAUCCACAUAUUUAAAAGUCUUAUAACUUUUUAUUUGUGUCUUCUCUGGCCUCCAAGUUUUCUAGGAUGAUGCAAUGUCCAGCCAUCAACACAUUUGUGAAGGAAUUUUUACUCCCUAAAAGAGCGCCCCCCCAUGGCAGGAGAAAAAAGUCAAUUUUUUCUUGUCCCAUAAGGUGAAAAUACACAUUGUUGACUGUCAUACCUGUAUGCUUUGUCAUAUUGACACAAAAUUUGACACACACAUGUAUCUCAAUAAGAU